GCAAAAAUGAAAUGAAAUGUACCAGUAGACAGGUGGCGUAGUGUAGCUAAAUUAAAUUACACUGAGCCGUUAGAGACUGGUUUUGUUGGUUUAAUUUAUGCUUCGGGAAACUUGAAACCUCCCAUUUCAAAAUAAAGGAGGGUUCACCAUUGUGAAGCAACAAUAAUUCAUAUAAAAAUAAAACUGAAAUAAAUUCUGAAAAUAUAACAGCACGACAAUAAAACAAACUGCGAUGGUGAUAAUACGCAGAUGUUUUUUUUUCUUUAAUUAACAAAUAACUAAGGAAAAAGUCUGUGUUGAAAUUGAUAUACGCUUUCGUUGACACGUACUUCGGCAUGAAAAACUAACGAAGAACGCAACGCCUAUCAAAAGCG
Molecule: long non-coding RNA, 374 nt
Filed under: Medicago truncatula (barrel medic)
Lineage: Eukaryota; Viridiplantae; Streptophyta; Magnoliopsida; Fabales; Fabaceae
Description: lncRNA gene49333
Source: RNAcentral